RNAcentral lists this ribosomal RNA (397 nucleotides) under uncultured bacterium. RNAcentral describes it as "partial 16S ribosomal RNA". It matches the Rfam family "Bacterial small subunit ribosomal RNA", at positions 523 to 918 of the family's 1533-position model. The record is from RNAcentral.
AUACGUAGGUGACAAGCGUUAUCCGGAUUUACUGGGCGUAAAGGGCGUGUAGGCGGUCUUGCAAGUCAGAAGUGAAAUUCCUGAGCUCAACUCGGGCGCUGCUUCUGAAACUGCAGGACUUGAGUGCUGGAGGGGAUAGCGGAAUUCCUAGUGGAGCGGUAAAAUGCGCAGAUAUUAGGAAGAACACCGGUGGCGAAGUCGGUGAUCUGGACAGGAACUGACGCUGAGGCGCGAAAGCGUGGGGAGCAAGCAGGAUUAGAUACCCUGGUAGCCCACGCCGUAAACGAUGAAUACUAGGUGUAGGGGGUAUCGACUCCCUCUGUGCCGCAGUUAACACAAUAAGUAUUCCGCCUGGGGAGUACGGCCGCAAGGUUGAAACUCAAAGGAAUUGACGGGG